Molecule: ribosomal RNA, 254 nt
Filed under: uncultured bacterium
Lineage: Bacteria
Description: partial 16S ribosomal RNA
Rfam family: Bacterial small subunit ribosomal RNA
Source: RNAcentral
UACGGAGGAUCCAAGCGUUACCCGGAUUUAUUGGGCGUAAAGCGUUGCGUAGGUGGUUUGGUAAGUGAGGUAUGAAAUAUCAGGGCUCAACUCUGAAGGUGUAUCUCAAACUACUAAACUUGAGGAUGGUAGAGGCAAGUGGAAUUCCAGGUGUAGGAGUGAAAUCCGUAGAUAUCUGGAGGAACACCAAUGGCGAAGGCAGCUUGCUGGGCCAUUCCUGACACUGAGGCACGAAAGCGUGGGGAGCGAACCGG